UUUGGAUUCCGAAUUUGCCCUCCCAAUUUUGUACAUAAAAUUCGGUUCCUCUUAUUGACGGCGAAUUUGUUCUUCAUUCAUCGCCGAUCUGGUAAGCCGUUUUCUCUUCAUUCAUGGCAUACAUUCCGAUGAAGGAACGAUUCUAGUGGUAGCUCUGAAAUUAGGGUUUUAUGUUGAAAAUUUGAAAUAGUAUGAUGUGGGUUAAUUUUUCAAUUCGAUUUCUCUCUGUCGUCUGUAAUGAAACACAAAAGAGUAUGAAAAACGCGUCGACAUUACUGGUAUCGACGGCUUCGUGUGCUCUUCGUUCGCCGGAAGUUUUGUAAAAAAAAACGAUUCUUUUCUUGAAUUGAUGAAAUUUCCCUAUUUUUGCAAUUUCUUGUAUAUUGGGGGUUUUGGGUGUUGGAGGCGACGGGCUGCAGGCAACGAGAGGGUUGAUAUAUUAUAACACCUUAAUUGUUGAAAUACUUUGAGUUGAUUUUGUUGGAGUUGUUGCGAGCUGCAUUUGGGGGGAAGUGGUUUCCAAUGUGUUUAUGCAGAAGGAAUAUGAGAGAAUGGUGAUGGCACUUUGUUUGUAAUAGGAUGAUUUUGUUUGUGAAAAUUAAGAAUUUGUUUUUUUUGGUUAUGUGAAGCUAUGUAUGCUCUGUUUAGAAGCUUAUUUGAUGGGACUGUAUUUUCAAUUCCGGUGGAAAUUGAGUUGGGAAUUUGUUAACUUUGGAAUUAGAAACGAUAGAGCUGAACUAUUGAUGAGAUGUUUGGAUGAGAAUUAAUUGGGUUGUGUAUGGAGAAGGGGGUUGCAUUUUUGAGAGUGUAGGUUGAAGGGCAUAUUUCGUGGGUUUCAGGCUAUUUUUCUGUAAUUCAUUCAUAAUUUGAUUUGGUUUUGCAGUGAAUGAAUCAGCUCAAGAACAUGUGUCGUCUGCUGAGAAACAUAUUCCAGAGGGUGGCGCUAUUACUGAAAAUGGAAAAUUCUAUCGUGCCACUGCUUCAAUGCAGCUUGCACCGUUAUGAUUGAGACACGUGUAAUGUCAAAAAAAAGAAAAAAAGAGGUAACCGUGGUUUGGCUGGCUGCCCGAGGAAAAAAUUGCAGAAAUUUUCACCCGAAGAAGAAAUUGGAUCCCUGUCUGAGAUACGUCGAGAAAUUUUGGCCGAGAGCAACAUUGUUCAACGGCGAAUUUGGCGCUGAAUCCGAAUAUGUUUUCAGAUUCAAGAACGAUGGCGUAUAGAAGAAGUGCCUGAGAGUUUCGGUGAGGCGAUCACUGUUUCGGCGAAGGGCUCUCGAUAUUUGCGCCAGAUUUUUCAACGGGAACAUGAUGGUGAGUCGGAAAAAUAGUUUCUGAAUUAUUGUAUUUUUGUAUUUUGUUCGAAAUGGUGUUUUAUGUUUGAAUUUGUUAUUUUAUAAUGAAUUUGUUUCCAAUAAUUGGUCCUUCUUCGUCUUCUUGAGUGCAUCGCCGUGGUGGAGGUGCCUCUUUCGCCUCUCCUUCUCUCUGCCGACCUCACCUACUCCGAUUUCCUCAAUCCCUCUUUUCUCUCUCUAAAGAUCCAAUUUUGCUCAAGGGUUUUUGAUUGUGUAGCGUUCCAGCCGUUAGCUCGUUAGUAUUUCGAAGGUGCUGAUCUCGGCUUUCGUUUUGAUGCCUCUCUUCGCAAUUUACACUAUGAUGUACUGAAUCGUUGGUCUGGCGGUUUGCUUAUUUUGAUGGUAGUUUGAAUUGAAUAUUGGUUGAUGAUUUUCUGAAACUCGUGUAUAGGUUUAAUGUGUGCUUUUCUAGUCAACGAACAGGAAAUUUCUAUCUUACCUUUAUGGGAAUUCUCUUAUUCAACUUUUUGCAUGUCUUCUUUGCAACAUUAAAGACACUCUUGAAUCCCUUGAAGCGCAGCUGUCUUCUUUGCAGGUUCUAUUUCUGUAACAUUUUCAUUAUUUUAGGUUUUGGUAUAGUGAUUUGGGGGUUUACUAGGUGGACCUUAAUGUGGAUUCUUGGAAGUUUUCAGUUGGUUUUUCGUUUCUUGUAUCAAUUUAG
RNAcentral lists this long non-coding RNA (2012 nucleotides) under Salvia miltiorrhiza (redroot sage). RNAcentral's name for it is "long non-coding RNA (SMIL_LNC007345)". Lineage: Eukaryota; Viridiplantae; Streptophyta; Magnoliopsida; Lamiales; Lamiaceae. The record is from RNAcentral.